RNAcentral lists this ribosomal RNA (292 nucleotides) under uncultured bacterium. Its description in RNAcentral is "partial 16S ribosomal RNA". It matches the Rfam family "Bacterial small subunit ribosomal RNA", at positions 505 to 796 of the family's 1533-position model. The record is from RNAcentral.
GUGCCAGCAGCCGCGGUAAUACGUAGGUGGCGAGCGUUGUCCGGAAUCAUUGGGCGUAAAGCGCGCGUAGGCGGCUUGUCAGGUCUGAUGUGAAACCUUGGGGCUUAACUCCAAGCGUGCAUCGGAAACCGGCUUGCUAGAGUCUGGGAGAGGGAAGUGGAAUUCCUGGUGUAGCGGUGAAAUGCGUAGAUAUCAGGAGGAACACCAGUUGCGAAGGCGGCUUCCUGGAACAGUACUGACGCUGAGGCGCGAAAGCUAGGGGAGCGAACAGGAUUAGAUACCCCUGUAGUCC